This 433-nucleotide ribosomal RNA is filed under the name uncultured bacterium. RNAcentral's name for it is "partial 16S ribosomal RNA". It matches the Rfam family "Bacterial small subunit ribosomal RNA", at positions 29 to 507 of the family's 1533-position model. The record is from RNAcentral.
AGCGAACGCUGGCGGCAGGCCUAACACAUGCAAGUCGAACGAACUCUUCGGAGUUAGUGGCGGACGGGUGAGUAACACGUGGGAACGUGCCUUUAGGUUCGGAAUAACUCAGGGAAACUUGUGCUAAUACCGAAUGUGCCCUUCGGGGGAAAGAUUUAUCGCCUUUAGAGCGGCCCGCGUCUGAUUAGCUAGUUGGUGAGGUAAAGGCUCACCAAGGCGACGAUCAGUAGCUGGUCUGAGAGGAUGAUCAGCCACAUUGGGACUGAGACACGGCCCAAACUCCUACGGGAGGCAGCAGUGGGGAAUCUUGCGCAAUGGGCGAAAGCCUGACGCAGCCAUGCCGCGUGAAUGAUGAAGGUCUUAGGAUUGUAAAAUUCUUUCACCGGGGACGAUAAUGACGGUACCAGGAGAAGAAGCCCCGGCUAACUUCGUG